This 491-nucleotide ribosomal RNA is filed under the name uncultured bacterium. Its description in RNAcentral is "partial 16S ribosomal RNA". It matches the Rfam family "Bacterial small subunit ribosomal RNA", at positions 29 to 507 of the family's 1533-position model. The record is from RNAcentral.
GUGAACGCUGGCGGUAGGCCUAACACAUGCAAGUCGAACGGCAGGACAGUAAGAGCUUGCUCUUACGGGUGGCGAGUGGCGGACGGGUGAGGAAUACAUCGGAAUCUACUUUUUCGUGGGGGAUAACGUAGGGAAACUUACGCUAAUACCGCAUACGACCUACGGGUGAAAGCAGGGGAUCUUCGGACCUUGCGCGAUUGAAUGAGCCGAUGUCGGAUUAGCUAGUUGGCGGGGUAAAGGCCCACCAAGGCGACGAUCCGUAGCUGGUCUGAGAGGAUGAUCAGCCACACUGGAACUGAGACACGGUCCAGACUCCUACGGGAGGCAGCAGUGGGGAAUAUUGGACAAUGGGCGCAAGCCUGAUCCAGCCAUACCGCGUGGGUGAAGAAGGCCUUCGGGUUGUAAAGCCCUUUUGUUGGGAAAGAAAAGCAGCAGGUUAAUACCCCGCUGUUCUGACGGUACCCAAAGAAUAAGCACCGGCUAACUUCGUG